Molecule: ribosomal RNA, 1422 nt
Filed under: uncultured Bordetella sp.
Lineage: Bacteria; Pseudomonadati; Pseudomonadota; Betaproteobacteria; Burkholderiales; Alcaligenaceae
Description: partial 16S-23S ribosomal RNA intergenic spacer
Rfam family: Bacterial small subunit ribosomal RNA
Source: RNAcentral
UAGUGUCUGAUUCUGGGUCAAUGAACGCUGGCGGAUGCUUUACACAUGCAAGUCGAACGGCAGCACGGACUGGUCUGUGAGUGGUGAACGGGUGAGUAAUAAUGGAACGCCCAGAAGUGGGGGAUAAUCAUGCUGAAAAGCGGUAGCUAAUACUCGACACGCCCUUCGGGAAAGUGGGACCUCUCGGGCCUCGUUAGAGCGGCCGAUAUCGGAUUAGCUAGUUGGUGGGGUAACGGCUCACCAAGGCGACGAUCCGUAGCUGGUUUGAGAGGACGACCAGCCACACUGACCGAGAUAUCGGCCCAGGACUCUACGGGAGGCAGGGAAUUUUGGACAAUGGGGGAAACCCGAUCCGAGCCAUCCCGCGUGUGCGAUGAAGACCGGUUGUAAAGCACUGGCAGUAAAGAAACGGCACGGGAUAAUACCCCGUGCAACUGAUGGUACCUGCAGAAUAAGCACUGCCACCAUGUUGCAGCCGCGGUAAUACGUAGGGUAAGCGCGUUAAUCAUGAAUUAUUGGGCGCAGCGUAGGCGGUUCGGAAAGAAAGAUGUGAAACUCAGAUGGUAACUUGGAACCGCAUUUAACUACCGAGCUAGAGGUACAGAGGUGGGAGGUGGAAUUCGGCGUAGCAGUGAAUGUAGAUAUGCGGAGGAACACCGAGCGGCGAAGGCAGCCUGGGAUACCGACGCUCAUGCACGAAAGGUGGGGAGCAAACAGAUGAUAGAUAACUUGGCAGUCCACGCCCUAAACGAUGUCAACUAGCUGUUACCUUCGGCCCGGUAGCGCAGCUCAACGCGUGAAGUUGACCGCCUGGGGAGUACGGUCGCAAAGAUUGAAACUCAAAGGAAUUGACGGGACCUGCACAAGCGGUGAUGAUGUGGAUUAAUUCCGAUGCAGAACGCGAAAAACCUUACCUCACCUUGACAUGUUCAAAUCCCGGAAGAGAUUUGGGAGUGCUCAAAGAGAACCGGAACACAGGUGCUGCAUGGCUGUCGUCAGCUCGUGUCGUAGAUGUUAAGAGUCCCGCAACGAGCGCAACCCUUGUCACAGUUGCUACUGAAAGUGCACCUAAUGAGACUGCCGGUGACAAACCGAGGAAGGUGGGAUGACGUCAAGUCCUCAUGGCCCUUAUGGGUAGGGCUUCACACGUCAUACAAUGGUCGACAGAGGGUCGCCAACCGCGAGGGGAGCCAAUCCCAGAAACCCGAUCGUAGUCCGGAUCGUAGUCUGCAACUCGACUGGGUGAAGUCGGAAUCGCUAGUAAUCGCGGAUCAGCACGUCGCGGUGAAUACGUUCCCGGGUCUUGUACACACCGCCUGUCACACCAUGGGAGUGGGUUUUACCAGAAGUAGUUAGCCUAACCGUAAGGAGGGCGAUUACCACGGUAGGAUUCAUGACUGGGGUGAAGUCGUAACAACGUAG